RNAcentral lists this transfer RNA (76 nucleotides) under Chloroflexota bacterium. Its description in RNAcentral is "Chloroflexi bacterium (freshwater metagenome) tRNA-Met". It matches the Rfam family "tRNA". Rfam says of the family: Transfer RNA (tRNA) molecules are approximately 80 nucleotides in length. The record is from RNAcentral. Lineage: Bacteria; Bacillati; Chloroflexota.
UGCGGGGUAGAGCAAGCGGAAGCUCACUAGCCCCAUAAGCUAGAGGUUGCCGGUUCGAGUCCGGUCCCCGCUACCA